RNAcentral lists this ribosomal RNA (229 nucleotides) under uncultured bacterium. RNAcentral's name for it is "partial 16S ribosomal RNA". It matches the Rfam family "Bacterial small subunit ribosomal RNA", at positions 568 to 796 of the family's 1533-position model. The record is from RNAcentral.
UGCGCAGGCGGGUUUGUAAGUCAGUGGUGAAAUCCUGCCGCUUAACGGUAGAAUUGCCAUUGAUACUGCGAAUCUUGAGUAUGGCUGAGGUAGGCGGAAUGUGUAGUGUAGCGGUGAAAUGCAUAGAUAUUACACAGAACUCCGAUUGCGAAGGCAGCUUACUAAGCCAUAACUGACGCUGAGGCACGAAAGCGUGGGGAGCGAACAGGAUUAGAUACCCUGGUAGUCC